Molecule: non-coding RNA, 460 nt
Organism: Carica papaya (papaya)
Lineage: Eukaryota; Viridiplantae; Streptophyta; Magnoliopsida; Brassicales; Caricaceae
Source: RefSeq, a predicted model, not a curated record
UAUGAAGUUUCAUAUAUAAUUAUCCAGCCACUGACUAUUGCCAUGUUUAGCUUGUUUUUCACCCUGGUUGUGGGGCCUUGAUGGCAUCCGCCCUGUAUGUUCCUGUUACUUGAUUAAUUUUUGCUGAUUUGACAGUAUUCUACAUUUUUGUAACAGGAUGCAGCCAAAGUCAUAAAGAGCAUGAUCCAGAAAAAUCCUGACUCGCACAACUUCAAUGUAAUUGCAAUAUCAAAGAAAGUUUGAGAUGUGUUUUAGUUGACAACUAGACCUCCUGGGUGUCCUUUGGAAAUGGGUGAAAUGAUGUGGAUAUGUGGCAAUGGGACAAGGCCAGACAAACUGAGACAGCAGGGCAGAAUUGACUUUGCAUUUGUAGGAAAUCUGAUUUGUGCUCAGAGAAUACUAGCAUGGUUCAAGUGCAACCCAAACAUGAAUAUAGUGCAAUUUGAAUUUUUGGCAGCUA